UGGGCAACCUGCCCCUCUCUCUGGGAUAACCCCGGGAAACCGGAGCUAAUACCGGAUACUCCGGCUGGAUCGCAUGGUCCGGCCGGGAAAGGUCCGCCGGAGAGGGAUGGGCCCGCGGCCUAUCAGCUUGUUGGUGGGGUCAUGGCUCACCAAGGCGACGACGGGUAGCUGGUCUGAGAGGAUGGCCAGCCACAUUGGGACUGAGACACGGCCCAGACUCCUACGGGAGGCA
Molecule: ribosomal RNA, 232 nt
Filed under: uncultured bacterium
Lineage: Bacteria
Description: partial 16S ribosomal RNA
Rfam family: Bacterial small subunit ribosomal RNA
Source: RNAcentral